This 253-nucleotide ribosomal RNA is filed under the name uncultured bacterium. RNAcentral's name for it is "partial 16S ribosomal RNA". It matches the Rfam family "Bacterial small subunit ribosomal RNA", at positions 524 to 776 of the family's 1533-position model. The record is from RNAcentral.
UACGUAGGGUGCGAGCGUUGUCCGGAAUUAUUGGGCGUAAAGGGCUCGUAGGCGGUUUGUCGCGUCGGGAGUGAAAUCCACUGGCUUAACUGGUGGCUUGCUUUCGAUACGGGCAGACUGGAGGUAUGCAGGGGAGAACGGAAUUCCUGGUGUAGCGGUGAAAUGCGCAGAUAUCAGGAAGAACACCUAUGGCGAAGGCAACACUCUGGGACGGUACUGACGCUGAGACGCGAAAGCGUGGGGAGCGAACAGG